Molecule: non-coding RNA, 45 nt
Filed under: Schistosoma margrebowiei
Lineage: Eukaryota; Metazoa; Platyhelminthes; Trematoda; Strigeidida; Schistosomatidae
Source: RNAcentral
AUCCAGAUGAUGAGUCCCAAAUAGGACGAAACGCGCGUCCUCGAU